GCGAGUGGGCAAGGGGAAGUCAGACCCAGAGGAGGUGGCAGGAGUGAGGAAACAGUGAGGCGAGGUGUAAAGGACAGUGCAGAACUUUCCGUGCCCCUAGGCCAAUCUGCACCUUAAUUCUCCUCGCCUGCCAUGUGGACAGGCCAAUACUUCGCGCUGCCCACCCUUGUGAGGACCCGGAAGUAUUACCGGUGGUGAUAGUGAAUCUGAACUCGUGCUAGGGUCCAGGGGAGGUAAGGAUGUGACAAGAAGGACCAAAAGCUACCUUACUGACACCGAAUUUCUUGGAAUAUGGAUCUUUAGAUUAAACAAGCUAUUAUACAGGCUUCCACUAGCAGAAAGUGUAUGAGUGCCUUCCCUGGGGAUCGUGGAUGACUGAAGUUUUAGGACAAAUGUGACUGCUCCCUGUAAGAGAUUUGGAAGGAGCUCAGCCGCAGAGUCAAACGGUGAUGUUUUGAAGUUUCUACUGAUGUUGAGUAACCAGAUGUGGAAGAGGACACUUCCAUUUGUCUCAAAACUUUGGAUAAAGCCCCACAGCUGCAGACAAUAGGCCAUAAGUAACUCUACAUUCUAAGGAGGGCAGCCUAAGAGCUACCUCUCUCCGAUUUUGAUACGAGGAGGUCAAACUUGACUUUGGAUUCUCACCCUGGUACCCUAGCAGCUCAAAUAACCAAAAGACUGGAAUUCACUGAAUGAGAGAAUUCUGAGCAAAAGAAAAUCCAAGACACCAGGAGAGAGCAAGAUUCCCUGGGACUCUGAAAUGUAGCUGACAACAUUAUGACAUUGUGUCCCACUGUGCAGCCUAGUGGAGGGGGCAAAGAAGACUCCCAAGAAUUAGUACCUAAAGGAGAGGAAAGCAGAACCCUGAGGCCUAUGAGAAGGAAAGAAGACAGUUCUUGGUAAGCUGGUUACGAUAUGAGAAAAGACUCCCAUGUGAAGAAUGACCCAUGUUCCUGGAAGAUAAAGGAUUCCACAAAAGAACAACUCCACAAGCAGCCAAGUUGUGGAGCCUCUGGUUCAGGCGCCAUCACUCAUCUGUGUUCAGCAUUUUCAUGGCUCCAGGCUGUGAAAGUCACCCUUUUCAUUGAUGCUUUAUAUAUUUGUGAAAUAAGUGAGAGUGUUGGGCUUUGAAGAAUGAUUUCACCUGAUAGAGUUGAAAGGCUCUGCAUGGACCUGAAGGAUACCUGCCCUUUCAACUCCAUUCUGCAACAUUGUCUACAAUGCCUACCAAAUCAUUAUUUCAUUCUCUAGAAAGAUGAACCUUUAUUUAACUUUUUUCAUGGUUAAUACAAAAGUAAUAUAC
This is a long non-coding RNA of Manis javanica (Malayan pangolin), 1303 nucleotides long. RefSeq lists it as uncharacterized. NCBI's taxonomy places the organism in Eukaryota, Metazoa, Chordata, Mammalia, Pholidota, Manidae. The record is from RefSeq and is a predicted model, not a curated record.